Molecule: long non-coding RNA, 1095 nt
Organism: Liolophura sinensis
Lineage: Eukaryota; Metazoa; Mollusca; Polyplacophora; Chitonida; Chitonidae
Exons: 3
Source: RefSeq, a predicted model, not a curated record
UGCAGCUCUCAGUGUUCGAACUGGGUGACUCGGCAAAUCUGGUGAAUUCGACAUACUGCUCUAGUGAGGUAACACUUUGACCAUUCUAUAACUUGGACCGACCCGACAAGGAAACUUUGUCGUUAUAUAACUACUGAAAGUGACUGAAAAUUCCAUGCAAACAGAGAAGCAAUCAAGCAGUAUCAUGCCUGUAUAUAUCUUUGGUCAUUGAGAUAGCGGUUCCCAUGAAGCUGCAAGGGGACUAUAACAUAACGUCGUCUUGAUGUUACCGAAAUUCUGUUAAAGGAUCCCGAAACCAUUUUCUAUGCACCCAAUCCAGGCACAUUGCAUGUCAACGUGCCAGGAAAACAUGUCUGGACUUGGAAACAGGCAAUAACGCGGUGACAUACUAAUUAGUGAAUGUUCUACAUCUGGACUAAUGAAGACAAUCCUGACGGGGUCCCCUGUGAUGUCACAUCAAUUAUGCCACUCUCUGGCGGGCGAUUGUUGCGAGACUACCAGGCUCUCAGAGGAGUGUCGACGUCUUAGUUGAGACUGUCGAGGCCAACUGGGCAACGCAUUGGUCAGUUCAGUAGCCUCGUUCCUUGACGAGAUGGAAGAGCGACUUCACAACUUAGACACCAGAACAACCGCCUUCGUCACAAGCUCUGGGGGCUUUAUAUGUUGUCUCCUUUCAUGAACUUAUAUUUCCAAGUUUUAUGGAUUCUGGUGUAAACCUUGCCAUGGAUACUGGCUGCGUCUUUCGCGCAGCAUUAUAGCAAAUCUAUGCAACCACUGAACUCAACUUCGUGUUUUUUUUUACCUAAAACAGCCAUUUGCCGAUUUAUCAGCUGGUAAUGAAGUCUCUUAUUGGGCUUAUUGAUUUUGUUUAUAAUUGCCGUUAAAACUUCAUAUAAAGACUUAAAAUUUAACAGAUUUCUGUCAGCAAUAUACGUUCCGGCGUUGCUUAAGUCAAACCAUCUUUGUAUAUAAUUGUUAUUAAAGCUAAUCGAUAUUGUAUAAAUCUUAGGGGUUUUGUAUAAAUCUUAGGGGUUUUAUGUAAAUCAUGCCAGCUACAUGUGUGCGGGUAAUACGUUGGAACACGUAUAUUUCUUC